GUUGUGAUUCUGCUUUAGUUGGGUCUGGGGGGGUCUCUCUGGAGAGUGGCUAUAAAUGCUAGCCUUUGUGCUGGGCAGCAAAGCAAAUCAUCGGGAAUAACCCGGGAGCCUGGCAGGGAAACCGCUGCACUAUGGAGAGGACGCUUCCAGAUACAGAGGACAAAUCAAGUGAAGGGACGGAACAGGUCACACCCAGAGCGGCACAGAGGUGUGUGAGCUGUUCCCACGGUAGUCAGAGCCUCUGUUCCAACUGUCCUCCCGCUGGGCUCUCUCCGGUCCCCAGUGCAUGGGCUGGAGUGUGGCCCCUGGCAGAGCCCUGGAGGCCGGCUCUGCUUCCUGCCCCCUUCCAGCCUGGAGCAGCCCGAGGGCGCAGCAUUCCUGGGGCAGGCCUGAGCCCUGUGGUGGGCUGAGUUGAGUCCCCAGAAAGGAUCUAUGAAAGAUAAAAUGUGGUGUGAGGACACGGCCCAGCCCCACCGUCGUCUUCCAGCCCCACCAUCGUCUUCCAGCCCCACCGUCGUCUUCCAGUCCCACCGUCGUCUUCUAGCCCCACCAUCGUCGUCUUGGACUCUCUGGGUGGCACCACGCUGUGGGUGCUGCUCUCCUCUGUGUCCCAAACGAGUUUGUGCCUCACUUUGUCGGGUUUUGGCUGUGACUUGGAGCCUCACCAAGCUCCCUUUUCCUCUGUCUCCCAUUCUCCUCUCCAGGCCAGGGUGGCUUCCCCAGCCCUCCUCCCCGGGUCCUGCCUGUGCCGAGCCUUCCUCCCAGGAGGGAGGUGAUACUGACUUGAGAUCUUAUGGGUGUUUUGUUUGUGGCUGGGCCUGGCCGACCCUCUCUCCACGGCCUUAGAUCACACUCUGGAUGGAUAGGACAGUCGUCCUCAAUACUGAGCCUCUUUGGAGCAUACCCACUGAUGGUGGUUCACAAGCUACCCACGCCCACAGGCUGACCCAGAUCUCCGUGAAAUUAAAAAAUACUGUGAAAGGAAAAAGAGCCAAUGUCAUGUGGAUAAUGAAGUGUCAGCCACUGAAAAAUCUCAAAAUAAUAAACAUGGCUUGUUUGUCAGGGUUCUCUAG
This 1073-nucleotide long non-coding RNA is filed under the name Homo sapiens (human). Its description in RNAcentral is "non-protein coding ZNF295-AS1:6". The record is from RNAcentral. Lineage: Eukaryota; Metazoa; Chordata; Mammalia; Primates; Hominidae.